CUUGUUCUUCUCCGCCGCGUAAUUUAUACAUUGAGGAAUGAAGAGAAAUGAACCUCCCACAACGGGAGUGAACGAACCAUCGGAGACCGAAACGAGGAGUUAGUUGUGUCUGAAUUGGUAAAGUCUGUAGGUAUCGGAAUCAGGUUGUAUUUCUUUUUUGGAAAAACCUGGAGAGAGCUACUAGGAUAGUGGAUCUAGGAGGCGUUAAGAAGAUAUGUGGCGAUCCGAGUGGGCGAUCAAUUUUCCAGGUGAUAUCAAACAAUGAUGGUUCAACUGGCUACGCAACAAAUAUUUUUAUGGAGGCUUAGGAAGAGAUGGAACCCAUAUAGGAU
Long non-coding RNA from Impatiens glandulifera, 332 nucleotides. RefSeq lists it as uncharacterized. The record is from RefSeq and is a predicted model, not a curated record. NCBI's taxonomy places the organism in Eukaryota, Viridiplantae, Streptophyta, Magnoliopsida, Ericales, Balsaminaceae. The transcript is spliced from 4 exons.